UUAGCUUUCAUUAUAGUUUUCGUA
Molecule: small nuclear RNA, 24 nt
Filed under: Arabidopsis thaliana (thale cress)
Lineage: Eukaryota; Viridiplantae; Streptophyta; Magnoliopsida; Brassicales; Brassicaceae
Description: snRNA_15453
Source: RNAcentral